CAGGCGGUUUGUUAAGUCAGAUGUGAAAUCCCCGGGCUCAACCUGGGAACUGCAUCUGAUACUGGCAAGCUUGAGUCUCGUAGAGGGGGGUAGAAUUCCAGGUGUAGCGGUGAAAUGCGUAGAGAUCUGGAGGAAUACCGGUGGCGAAGGCGGCCCCCUGGACGAAGACUGACGCUCAGGUGCGAAAGCGUGGGGAGCAAACAGGAUUAGAUACCUAGGUAGUCCACGCCGUAAACGAUGUCGACUUGGAGGUUGUGCCCUUGAGGCGUGGCUUCCGGAGCUAACGCGUUAAGUCGACCGCCUGGGGAGUCCGGCCGCAAGGUUAAAACUCAAAUGAAUUGACGGGGGCCCGCACAAGCGGUGGAGCAUGUGGUUUAAUUCGAUGCAACGCGAAGAACCUUACCUGGUCUUGACAUCCACGGAAGUUUUCAGAGAUGAGAAUGUGCCUUCGGGAACCGUGAGACAGGUGCUGCAUGGCUGUCGUCAGCUCGUGUUGUGAAAUGUUGGGUUAAGUCCCGCAACGAGCGCAACCCUUAUCCUUUGUUGCCAGCGGUCCGGCCGGGAACUCAAAGGAGACUGCCAGUGAUAAACUGGAGGAAGGUGGGGAUGACGUCAAGUCAUCAUGGCCCUUACGACCAGGGCUACACACGUGCUACAAUGGCGCAUACAAAGAGAAGCGACCUCGCGAGAGCAAGCGGACCUCAUAAAGUGCGUCGUAGUCCGGAUUGGAGUCUGCAACUCGACUCCAUGAAGUCGGAAUCGCUAGUAAUCGUGGAUCAGAAUGCCACGGUGAAUACGUUCCCGGGCCUUGUACACACCGCCCGUCACACCAUGGGAGUGGGUUGCAAAAGAAGUAGGUAGCUUAACCUUCGGGAGGGCGCUUACCACUUUGUGAUUCAU
Molecule: ribosomal RNA, 900 nt
Filed under: uncultured organism
Description: SSU rRNA
Rfam family: Bacterial small subunit ribosomal RNA
Source: RNAcentral